UACGGGGGGAGCAAGCGUUGUUCGGAUUUACUGGGCGUAAAGGGCGCGUAGGCGGCGCAACAAGUCACUUGUGAAAUCUCCGGGCUUAACUCGGAAAGGUCAAGUGAUACUGUCGCGCUAGAGUGCGGAAGGGGCAAUCAGAAUUCUUGGUGUAGCGGUGAAAUGCGUAGAUAUCAAGAGGAAUACCUGAGGUGAAGACGGGUUGCUAGGCCGACACUGACGCUGAAGCGCGAAAGCCAGGGGAGCAAACAGG
Molecule: ribosomal RNA, 253 nt
Filed under: uncultured bacterium
Lineage: Bacteria
Description: partial 16S ribosomal RNA
Rfam family: Bacterial small subunit ribosomal RNA
Source: RNAcentral